GACGAACGCUGGCGGCGUGCUUAACACAUGCAAGUCGAGCGGUAAGGCCCCUUCGGGGGUACACGAGCGGCGAACGGGUGAGUAACACGUGGGCAAUCUGCCCAUCACAUCGGGAUAACUCCGGGAAACCGAAGCUAAUACCGAAUACGACCACCUCCGGCAUCGGAUGGUGGUGGAAAGUUCCGGCGGUGAUGGAUGAGCUCGCGGCCUAUCAGCUUGUUGGUGGGGUAACGGCCCACCAAGGCUUCGACGGGUAGCCGGCCUGAGAGGGUGACCGGCCACACUGGGACUGAGACACGGCCCAGACUCCUACGGGAGGCAGCAGUGGGGAAUAUUGGACAAUGGGCGAAAGCCUGAUCCAGCAACGCCGCGUGAGGGAUGACGGCCUUCGGGUUGUAAACCUCUUUCAGCAGGGACGAAGCGCAAAUGACGGUACCUGCAGAAGAAGCACCGGCCAACUACGUG
Molecule: ribosomal RNA, 465 nt
Filed under: uncultured bacterium
Lineage: Bacteria
Description: partial 16S ribosomal RNA
Rfam family: Bacterial small subunit ribosomal RNA
Source: RNAcentral